UACGUAGGUGGCGAGCGUUAUCCGGAAUUACUGGGCGUAAAGCGUACGCAGGCGGCUUGUUUAGUCUGACGUGAAAUCUCCCGGCUUAACUGGGAGGGGUCGUUGGAAACUGGCAAGCUUGAGGCAAUGAGAGGGGCAUGGAAUUCCCGGUGUAGUGGUGGAAUGCGUAGAUAUCGGGAGGAACACCAGAGGCGAAAGCGAUGCCCUGGCAUUGGCCUGACGCUCAUGUACGAAAGCGUGGGGAGCGAACGGG
This 253-nucleotide ribosomal RNA is filed under the name uncultured bacterium. Its description in RNAcentral is "partial 16S ribosomal RNA". It matches the Rfam family "Bacterial small subunit ribosomal RNA", at positions 524 to 776 of the family's 1533-position model. The record is from RNAcentral.